GCUGGAUUCAAGAAAGAUGAUAAGCAACUGGAUGCAGAGAUUCAUAGGAAGUACAUCUUUGGAGGACAUGUUGCCUCUUACAUGAGGUCUCUGAUUGAUGAUGAGCCUGAGAAGUACCAGACUCACUUUUCUGAGUUCAUCAAGAGGGGGAUUGAUCCGGAUCAGAUUGAGGAGAUGUACAAGAAGGUGCAUGCUGCUAUCCGUGAGGAUCCAACAAUAGUCAAGUCCACCAAGCCACCACCAAAGGAGCACAAGAGGUACAAUUUGAAGAAGCUGACCUAUGAGGAGAGGAAGGCUAGCCUUGUCAAGCGUUUGAAUGCCCUCAAUGAUGCCAACAAUGAUGAAGAUGAUGAGGAUGAUG
RNAcentral lists this unclassified non-coding RNA (361 nucleotides) under Hevea brasiliensis (rubber tree). The record is from RNAcentral. Lineage: Eukaryota; Viridiplantae; Streptophyta; Magnoliopsida; Malpighiales; Euphorbiaceae.